RNAcentral lists this ribosomal RNA (449 nucleotides) under uncultured bacterium. Its description in RNAcentral is "bacterial SSU rRNA". It matches the Rfam family "Bacterial small subunit ribosomal RNA", at positions 335 to 777 of the family's 1533-position model. The record is from RNAcentral.
ACUCCUACGGGAGGCAGCAGUGGGGAAUAUUGCACAAUGGGCGCAAGCCUGAUGCAGCCAUGCCGCGUGUAUGAAGAAGGCCUUCGGGUUGUAAAGUACUUUCAGCAGUGAGGAAGGUGGAUAUGUUAAUAGCAUAUUCAUUUGACGUUAGCUGCAGAAGAAGCACCGGCUAACUCCGUGCCAGCAGCCGCGGUAAUACGGAGGGUGCGAGCGUUAAUCGGAAUUACUGGGCGUAAAGCGCAUGCAGGUGGUUUGUUAAGUCAGAUGUGAAAGCCCGGGGCUCAACCUCGGAAUUGCAUUUGAAACUGGCAAACUAGAGUACUGUAGAGGGGGUAGAAUUUCAGGUGUAGCGGUGAAAUGCGUAGAGAUCUGAAGGAAUACCGGUGGCGAAGGCGGCCCCCUGGACAGAUACUGACACUCAGAUGCGAAAGCGUGGGGAGCAAACAGGA